GCCGACCGUUACUCCGCUGAGGUAAUAAAAGAGGCCGCCCUAAUUGCAGUCAGCUGAGCCGGGCGAGCUGCGGCUUCGCUCCUGUCCACGCCUCCUUCCCUCGGGCACCUCGGUGGCUCUGCUGAAGGCGGGAGGGAUGGAGGUAACGCUUCACUGCUGGAAGAGGCCGGGCGGGUCUCUGAGGGCCGCCCCUCAGGUAGUAAACCGGUGCUGGAGUGCUCUGGUAAAGGAGAUGUCUGUCCGGUCCAGGACCUGCAGUCCCAUUUAAGCUGUGCUGCUGCGGUGGCUCUGUUGGUGAGGGUUCUCUACUCUACCCAAGCAGCGAUAGCUCUCUGCUUCACCUGGACUCGUGCUAUGGAUUCAGGAUCCUCUCAAGCAAUGGGAAAGGAAGCAAAAGGGAAACAAAGGACUUUUCCUGCCAGCUCUUGUCACAGGAAGACCUAUGCUCGAAGGGAACCACCCCCUUGA
This 468-nucleotide long non-coding RNA is filed under the name Chrysolophus pictus (golden pheasant). RNAcentral's name for it is "lncRNA (ENSCPIG00010009190.1)". The record is from RNAcentral. Lineage: Eukaryota; Metazoa; Chordata; Aves; Galliformes; Phasianidae.